CCCCAGAAGAUGAGCUCUGUUACAAGCAG
This 29-nucleotide non-coding RNA is filed under the name Homo sapiens (human). The record is from RNAcentral. Lineage: Eukaryota; Metazoa; Chordata; Mammalia; Primates; Hominidae.